UCUGUGAAUGGUGCUCCGGAAAGGAUA
This 27-nucleotide small RNA is filed under the name Bombyx mori (domestic silkworm). RNAcentral's name for it is "ovarian small RNA-7796". The record is from RNAcentral. Lineage: Eukaryota; Metazoa; Arthropoda; Insecta; Lepidoptera; Bombycidae.